UCGGGAAUUUUGGGCAAUGGGCGAAAGCCUGACCCAGCAACGCCGCGUGAAGGAUGAAGUAUUUCGGUAUGUAAACUUCGUAAGAAUAGGAAGAAUAAAUGACGGUACUAUUUGUAAGGUCCGGCUAACUACGUGCCAGCAGCCGCGGUAAUACGUAGGGACCAAGCGUUGUUCGGAUUUACUGGGCGUAAAGGGCGCGUAGGCGGUGUGUCAAGUCAGUUGUGAAAUCUCCGAGCUUAACUCGGAACGGUCAACUGAUACUGUCACACUAGAGUACCGAAGGGGCAAUCGGAAUUCUUGGUGUAGCGGUGAAAUGCGUAGAUAUCAAGAGGAACACCUGAGGCGAAGGCGGGUUGCUGGGCUGAUACUGACGCUGAGGCGCGAAAGCCAGGGGAGCAAACGGGAUUAGAUACCCCUGUAGUCCCUGAGCGGGCUGGCAAGGCGCAU
RNAcentral lists this ribosomal RNA (447 nucleotides) under uncultured bacterium. Its description in RNAcentral is "bacterial SSU rRNA". It matches the Rfam family "Bacterial small subunit ribosomal RNA", at positions 355 to 825 of the family's 1533-position model. The record is from RNAcentral.